UGGUAAUGGGGUUGAUGCAAAAACAAGAGCUGAGCAAAGUAAUCCUUCAGCUAGGUGUCAAUUCAAGCCUUGUUCUCUUUGCGAUGAGAAGCAGAGAGGAUGAUGAGAUGACAGUUUGUA
Molecule: long non-coding RNA, 120 nt
Organism: Ipomoea nil (Japanese morning glory)
Lineage: Eukaryota; Viridiplantae; Streptophyta; Magnoliopsida; Solanales; Convolvulaceae
Exons: 3
Source: RefSeq, a predicted model, not a curated record